GAUGAACGCUGACAGAAUGCUUAACACAUGCAAGUCUACUUGAACUUCGGUUUGGGUGGCGGACGGGUGAGUCACGCGUAAAGAACUUGCCUCACAGAUAGGGACAACAUUUGGAAACGAAUGCUAAUACCUGAUAUUAUGAUUUUAAGGCAUCCUAGAAUUAUGAAAGCUAUAUGCACUGUGAGAGAGCUUUGCGUCCCAUUAGCUAGUUGGAGAGGUAACGGCUCACCAAGGCGAUGAUGGGUAGCCGGCCUGAGAGGGUGAUCGGCCACAAGGGGACUGAGACACGGCCCUUACUCCUACGGGAGGCAGCAGUGGGGAAUAUGGGACAAUGGACCAAGAGUCUGAUCCAGCAAUUCUGUGUGCACGAUGAAGUUUUUCGGAAUGUAAAGUGCUUUCAGUUGGGAAGAAAAAAAUGACGGUACCAACAGAAGAAGUGACGGCUAAAUACGUG
This 454-nucleotide ribosomal RNA is filed under the name uncultured bacterium. RNAcentral describes it as "partial 16S ribosomal RNA". It matches the Rfam family "Bacterial small subunit ribosomal RNA", at positions 28 to 507 of the family's 1533-position model. The record is from RNAcentral.